UACGAAGGGGGCGAGCGUUGUUCGGAAUUACUGGGCGUAAAGGGCGCGUAGGCGGCGACUCAAGUUAGAUGUGAAAGUCCUGGGCUUAACCUGGGGACUGCAUUUGAUACUGGGUUGCUUGAAUUCGGGAGAGGAUAGCGGAAUUCCCAGUGUAGAGGUGAAAUUCGUAGAUAUUGGGAAGAACACCGGUGGCGAAGGCGGCUAUCUGGACCGACAUUGACGCUGAGGCGCGAAAGCCAGGGGAGCAAACGGG
RNAcentral lists this ribosomal RNA (253 nucleotides) under uncultured bacterium. RNAcentral's name for it is "partial 16S ribosomal RNA". It matches the Rfam family "Bacterial small subunit ribosomal RNA", at positions 524 to 776 of the family's 1533-position model. The record is from RNAcentral.